Molecule: long non-coding RNA, 529 nt
Filed under: Zea mays
Lineage: Eukaryota; Viridiplantae; Streptophyta; Magnoliopsida; Poales; Poaceae
Description: long non-coding RNA (ZMAY_LNC002572)
Source: RNAcentral
GCGCCUGCGCGGACGGCUUGUUAGGAGCCGUAACUGCGACUUUUCACUUGCGUGAUCCGAGAACCAAGGAAGAUGGCGACAAGGCUCCAAUACCAAUUUGUGAUGCCCUCGGCAAAAAAGCUCUGGUGAUCGCCGGUGAAGACGAAGAAGAUGGAAAGAGAAGCAACAGCGUGGAAGAACAUGGAAGGUAACAGAGGUAGGCGGUGAUAGUGUUUAUGUAUUUCAUCGAUACCGGUUCCAAAUUCUAGUGCAGAAUUUAUGCAACCCCAUAAUAGACCACACGCAAGAUAUACGGUCAUAUACGGCUCAACAAUUCAAAUCAUUCAAUCACAGAAUGCUGCCUCACCGCCCUGGCCACCUCCUAUGCCACGCCAAGCCUGUCAUGCGCCCUCCUGGGUCAUGACACCCUGCUGCUCCGCCCGUGGCCUGCGGCCAAUUCCUGUUGCUCUACCUGCAGUCGGUUCGUGUUGUUGUUGCUUCAUCCGUCGCUAGCCCCUGCUCCUCCGCCUGUCAUUGUUUUGCACCUGAG